RNAcentral lists this ribosomal RNA (372 nucleotides) under uncultured organism. RNAcentral describes it as "bacterial SSU rRNA". It matches the Rfam family "Bacterial small subunit ribosomal RNA", at positions 526 to 896 of the family's 1533-position model. The record is from RNAcentral.
CAGAGGCCCCAAGCGUUACUGAGAAUCACUGGGUUUAAAGGGUGCGUAGGUGGCGCGUUAAGUCCGUUGUGAAAUCCCUUGGCUCAACCAAGGAAAUGCUUCGGAUACUGGCGUGCUUGAGGCUAGUAGGGGUCACUGGAACUGACGGUGGAGCGGUGGAAUGCGUAGAUAUCGUCAGGAACGCCGAUGGUGAAGACAGGUGACUGGGCUAGUUCUGACACUGAGGCACGAAAGCGUGGGGAGCGAACGGGAUUAGAUACCCCGGUAGUCCACGCCCUAAACGAUGCAGACUAGACUGCAGCGGGUUACACCCCGUUGCGGUCGGAGCGAAAUUGUUAAGUCUGCCACCUGGGAAGUACGGUCGCAAGGCUA